AGUGAACGCUGGCGGUAGGCCUAACACAUGCAAGUCGAACGGCAGCACAGUAAGAGCUUGCUCUUACGGGUGGCGAGUGGCGGACGGGUGAGGAAUACAUCGGAAUCUACUUUUUCGUGGGGGAUAACGUAGGGAAACUUACGCUAAUACCGCAUACGACCUACGGGUGAAAGCAGGGGAUCUUCGGACCUUUCGGGAUUGAAUGAGCGGCUGUCGGGUUAGCUAGUUGGCGGGGUAAAGGCCCACCAAGGCGACGGUCCGUAGCUGGUCUGAGAGGAUGGUCAGCCACACUGGAACUGAGACACGGUCCAGACUCCUACGGGAGGCAGCAGUGGGGAAUAUUGGGCAAUGGGCGCAAACCUGAUCCAACCAUACCGCGUGGGUAAAGAAGGCCUUCGGGUUGUAAAGCCCUUUUGUUGGGAAAGAAAAGCAGCAGGUUAAUACCCCGCUGUUCUGACGGUACCCAAAGAAUAAGCACCGGCUAACUUCGUG
Molecule: ribosomal RNA, 492 nt
Filed under: uncultured bacterium
Lineage: Bacteria
Description: partial 16S ribosomal RNA
Rfam family: Bacterial small subunit ribosomal RNA
Source: RNAcentral